CCAAGGAGAGGGUGAGAAAAGGACAGUGUGAUUAGGGGGAAGUAGAGAAGAAGAAGAAGAAGGAAAGAAAAAAAAGAGAGAGAGAAUGAAGAAAAGGUGACUCAAGAAGGCAAGUUGCACGUUGGAAGCCGGAGUUAAAAUUUACUCGAUGAGGGUGGAUUCAGUGCAUUCAGAGGCAUACAAGGUUCUUGGAGGGAUUACUCGAGUCGGUCAACAAAAUGAACCAGUUUGUUCAAGCUGGGACUUCUGCUGCAGAUGUAUGUGACCGACUAAAAGGGCUUUCAGAGCAUGAGAGUCUAUGAAGCACGGGUACUCCAAAAAUAGUGUCGUACGAGUACCGAGUACUUACCGGGUGCAGGUACGCGUACCGGUACGGUGGUACGCGUACCGAGUAUGGCAAAAGAGGGUCCGGUACGUUUGGCUUAUUCGGGUACGGCACGGGUACGGCAUGGGUACGGCGUGGGUACGCCAUGGGUACGCCAAGGCCAAUUUUUUUUUUUUUUUCUGCCCUUGCAAAUUAGCAAUUAUUAUUAUUAUUUUUUAUUUUUUUUGGUGCCCUUGCAGAUCAGUAAUUUUGAUGUUUCUCUGUUGUCCUGUUUGUCUGUAUAAAUUGUAGAAACAUAUCAACAAAUGAUUUUAAUGUUUUUAAAAAGCAAUUUGAACCAAAAAAAAUAACAAGGCCUAUAAAGGGUAGUUCUGUGUAUGACUAUGCAUUAUGCUUUUGCUUUAGAUCCUCCUAGAAUUUCUUUAUAAAAUCUUUAAUCAUAACAAACUUUUAAAGUUUAUGCACAAAACAUUAAAAAUUGAUACUGUAUUAGUUGAUUAGUAGUUGUUGGGAAUGAUGCAAUUUUAUGUAUUAUGCAAAUUGCAAUUGACAACCUGCACCAAUUGAGAAUUUUUUUCCUUUAUUGUUGGUAAUUAACUUUAAAUCUUUAUUUGGUCUCUUGUUAUUUCUUUGGUCUCACCCUAUAAAAAUAGCAAAUUGAUGAGCAAAAAGAAAGAUUUUAAAAAUAAAUUAUGAUCACAAAUUCACAGUGCAUAACAUAUCAAAGUGAGAGAUUUCACAAAUAUUAUUUUUAACGUUUAAUGGUUUUAAAUUAUAGGAAAAUGAGUAGUUCUUUUUUUAGUUUUGAUAUUUAAUUUUAAUUU
Molecule: long non-coding RNA, 1149 nt
Organism: Camellia sinensis
Lineage: Eukaryota; Viridiplantae; Streptophyta; Magnoliopsida; Ericales; Theaceae
Source: RefSeq, a predicted model, not a curated record